This 831-nucleotide long non-coding RNA is filed under the name Homo sapiens (human). Its description in RNAcentral is "non-protein coding LINC01411:3". Lineage: Eukaryota; Metazoa; Chordata; Mammalia; Primates; Hominidae. The record is from RNAcentral.
CCUUCCCCAGCUUUGGGGCCACAGAGGGACAGAAACCGCAGGCAGGCUGGCCUGGGAAUGAACCUACACCAGCCUGAAGUCAGAAGAGCCUCUAGGAGCCUCCAGCCUGGACUCUUUUUACAGAUGGGGAAACUGAGUCCCAGAGAGGGAGCAAUGAAGGAUGUCUAAGGUCAUCAGCAACGUAAAGCCAACAGCAUCAUCCUGAGUCAUGUUUGAACCUGAGGGAAAGAAACAUAUGUUCGAAGAGGUUCUGAGGCUGCUGCACCCGAUAUCAUACCUGGUUGGCCCUGGGAAAGGGCCCACCUCCAAUACAUAAACACAACCAGCUUUGACAGUGAGCCCUGAAGCAUGGCAUUGAGAAGCUGCCUAAGAAGGAGGCAGAUCCAUCAGCCUGGGUGCCCGACUGAUUACCCUGAGCAGAGCUCCCCAGCCCACCUGUGAUGGACGCAUGGAGCUUGAGCAAGGAAUAAAUAUUCGUUGCUUUUCCAUCCAGCUGUUUGGCAUUGGAUACUGCUGCCUCUGCUUGACUUGAGAAUGUGUGAGAAAAGCUGUGUUUAGACAACUGAAAACCAUGAGCUUGAAAGUAGUGGGGGCACACUCUUGGAGACUCCAGUUGCUCACCAGCUUGGACAAACCACUGGACUCAAAUGAUCAGGUAGAAAUUCAUCACUGGAGAGAACACAGUGGAAUGGCUUCAGCGAAAACUCACUCUGAAGGUCUUCAGGGCAACUUUAAGACUUGCCCCUGGCCGGGCACAGUGGCUUAUGCCUAUAAUCCCAGCACUUUGGGAGGCCGAGGCGGGUGGAUCACCUGAGGUCAGGAGUUCAAGAC